RNAcentral lists this ribosomal RNA (433 nucleotides) under uncultured bacterium. RNAcentral's name for it is "partial 16S ribosomal RNA". It matches the Rfam family "Bacterial small subunit ribosomal RNA", at positions 29 to 507 of the family's 1533-position model. The record is from RNAcentral.
AACGAACGCUGGCGGCAUGCCUAACACAUGCAAGUCGAACGAGACCUUCGGGUCUAGUGGCGCACGGGUGCGUAACGCGUGGGAACCUGCCCUUAGGUUCGGAAUAACUCCCCGAAAGGGGUGCUAAUACCGGUUAAUGUAUUCGGACCAAAGAUUUUUCGCCUUUGGAUGGGCCCGCGUUGGAUUAGCGAGUUGGUAGGGUAAAAGCCUACCAAGGCGACGAUCCAUGGCUGGUCUGAGAGGAUGACCAGCCACACUGGAACUGAGGCACGGCCCAGACUGCGAGGGGGGGGUGCGGUGGAUAAUAUUGGGGGAGGGGGGAAAGCCCAGUCCAGCAAUGCCGGGGAAGUGAUGAAGGGCGUAGUGUUGUAAAGCUCUUUGACACGGGAUGAUAAUGACAGUACCGGGAGAAUAAGCUCCGGCUAACUCCGUG